GGAAGAGCUCUCUUUUCUUUUUAACAAGCAUGUCCUACCUUGGAAACGGAUUAUCCGGCGAUAAGGAGGAAGUCUUGGCAAAGCACUUUAUUUUUUGAAGUGUCCUGCGCGCCCAUGUCAGCCCUUGAAAAUCCUGGCUAGAGAUUUAUUCGCACCCUCGUUCGUACUCAUAACCGCAUCAGGUCUC
Molecule: non-coding RNA, 187 nt
Filed under: Albugo candida
Lineage: Eukaryota; Oomycota; Peronosporomycetes; Albuginales; Albuginaceae
Description: Eukaryotic large subunit ribosomal RNA
Rfam family: Eukaryotic large subunit ribosomal RNA
Source: Rfam by way of RNAcentral